This 484-nucleotide ribosomal RNA is filed under the name uncultured bacterium. RNAcentral describes it as "bacterial SSU rRNA". It matches the Rfam family "Bacterial small subunit ribosomal RNA", at positions 30 to 507 of the family's 1533-position model. The record is from RNAcentral.
AUUGAACGCUGGCGGCAUGCCUUACACAUGCAAGUCGAACGGCAGCACGGGAGCAAUCCUGGUGGCGAGUGGCGAACGGGUGAGUAAUAUAUCGGAACGUGCCCAGUCGUGGGGGAUAACGUAGCGAAAGCUACGCUAAUACCGCAUACGAUCUAUGGAUGAAAGCGGGGGAUCGCAAGACCUCGCGCGAUUGGAGCGGCCGAUAUCAGAUUAGGUAGUUGGUGAGGUAAAGGCUCACCAAGCCAACGAUCUGUAGCUGGUCUGAGAGGACGACCAGCCACACUGGAACUGAGACACGGUCCAGACUCCUACGGGAGGCAGCAGUGGGGAAUUUUUGGACAAUGGACGCAAGUCUGAUCCAGCCAUUCCGCGUGCAGGAUGAAGGCCCUCGGGUUGUAAACUGCUUUUGUACGGAACGAAAGGUUUCUAUUAAUACUAGGAGCUCAUGACGGUACCGUAAGAAUAAGCACCGGCUAACUACGUG